AGAUCAAUUUAACCGUAACGCAGACACGUUCUCUUCACGUGCACAAGGUCGGUUGCUAUGGUAACCCGAUAGCAGCACUUUACAGCAUGUCGAACUGCUGUCG
Long non-coding RNA from Hippocampus comes (tiger tail seahorse), 103 nucleotides. RefSeq lists it as uncharacterized. The record is from RefSeq and is a predicted model, not a curated record. NCBI's taxonomy places the organism in Eukaryota, Metazoa, Chordata, Actinopteri, Syngnathiformes, Syngnathidae. The transcript has 3 exons.